ACUACGGGUGGCAGCAGUGAGGAAUAUUGGUCAAUGGGCGGAAGCCUGAACCAGCCAAGUAGCGUGCAGGAUGACGGCCCUACGGGUUGUAAACUGCUUUUAUACGGGAAUAACGCGCCUUACGUGUAGGGCUUUGCAUGUACCGUAUGAAUAAGGACCGGCUAAUUCCGUGCCAGCAGCCGCGGUAAUACGGAAGGUCCGGGCGUUAUCCGGAUUUAUUGGGUUGAAAGGGAGCGUAGGCCGCAUGUCAAGCGUGCUGUGAAAUGUCCGGGCUAAACCCGGGCCUUGCAGCGCGAACUGGCGUGCUUGAGUCCGCGGAAAGCAGGCGGAAUUCGUCGUGUAGCGGUGAAAUGCUUAGAUAUGACGAAGAACCCCGAUUGCGAAGGCAGCUUGCUGCAGCGGAACUGACGCUGAUGCUCGAAAGCGCGGGUAUCGAACAGGAUUAGAUACCCCGGUAGUC
RNAcentral lists this ribosomal RNA (460 nucleotides) under uncultured bacterium. RNAcentral describes it as "partial 16S ribosomal RNA". It matches the Rfam family "Bacterial small subunit ribosomal RNA", at positions 338 to 795 of the family's 1533-position model. The record is from RNAcentral.